Molecule: long non-coding RNA, 1470 nt
Filed under: Citrus sinensis (sweet orange)
Lineage: Eukaryota; Viridiplantae; Streptophyta; Magnoliopsida; Sapindales; Rutaceae
Description: long non-coding RNA (CSIN_LNC000178)
Source: RNAcentral
AAAGAUUAAAGUCCUAUUCUAAAAGAAGACUCAACCGACUUAAAGCAGCAAUUGAAACUGCAAAUGACACGUAUGUUCUUUAUGCCCCCUCAAGAUAGGCCACGAGUAGAGAAGCCAAUCUUGUCUCUUAGCAGUAGGAACUGAGAACGUGGCAAAGGUUUGGUGAGGAGAUCAACAAGUUGGUCGGCAGAAGAAACAUGAGCCACACGAAGUAAACCAGAUUGAACCUGUUCACGGAUAAAAUGGUAAUCCACUGCUACAUGUUUCAUUCGAGAGUGAAACACAGGAUUGGAGCUUAACUGAGUAGCACCAAUGUUAUCACAAUAGACAACGGGAGAAGAUUGCAAAGUCACACCAAGUUCAGCAAGCAGUGAACAUACCCACCGAAGUUCAGCAGCAGUAGCAGCAACUGAACGAUAUUCCGCUUCUGUAGAAGAACGAGCAACAGUUUGUUGCUUCUUAGAACUCCAAGAAAUAAGAUUCCGCCCAAGAUAGACAAGGUAAGCACUAGUGGAAGAGUAAUCAUCUUUAUUGCCGGCCCAGUCAACAUCCGAGAACGCAUGAAGACCAUCAGAGAACCCAUGAAGAGAUAAAGGAGACUCACGAUGGAGAAGAAGACCUUUAUCCAAUGUGCCACAUAAAUACCGUAGAAUUCGUUUAACAAGUACCCAAUGCUCGUCAGUAGGUUGAUGCAUAAAUUGAGCCAUCUUAUUGACAGCAAAAGAGAUAUCAGGAGGAGUGAGAGAGAGGUAUUGCAGGCUCCCAACUACAGCACGAACUUGAGAAGGAUCUGAAAGAGGAGUGCCCGAGGUGAUGGUGAGUGAGGAAGAAUUUGUUGGCAAUGGGGUAAGUACAAGUGUAGCAUCUGCCAUAUGAGUUCUUUUAAGCAAGUCUUGGAUAUAUCUUCUCUGAGAGAGCAAUAUGCCUCGCCAAUGUGGAACAACCUCAAUGCCGAGAAAAUAAGAAAGAGAGCCAAGAUCUUUCAGGGAGAAGCGUUGAGCAAGGCAGCCAACAAAUUGAGAAACAAGGUCAUCAAUAUUACCAGUAACAAUGAUAUCAUCAACGUACACCAGUAAAAAUAAAAUAUGUCUGCCAGUGUUGAGAACAAAGAGAGAAGUAUCAGAGUGAGAAUUCGUGAAACCUGAAUGCACAAGAAAUUGGCGUAGUUCAUGAUACCAAGCCCGUGGAGCCUGUUUGAGACCAUAGAUAGCCUUAUGAAGUUUACAUACAUAUGUUGGACGAUCAGAAUCAACAAAUCCUGGUGGUUGAGCCAUAUAUACAUGUUCUGAGAGCCGGCCUUGAAGAAAGGUGUUGUUGAUGUCAAGUUGGCAAAGAGACCAGCCAUUGCUUAUUGCAAUACUAAGUACAAGUCUCACUGUGGUGGGUUUAACAACCGGGCUAAAAGUCUCAUGGUAAUCCACACCGGGUCGUUGAUGAAAUCCUUUGGCCACAAGGCGAGCUUUAAACCGG